RNAcentral lists this ribosomal RNA (434 nucleotides) under uncultured Lachnospiraceae bacterium. Its description in RNAcentral is "bacterial SSU rRNA". It matches the Rfam family "Bacterial small subunit ribosomal RNA", at positions 341 to 792 of the family's 1533-position model. Lineage: Bacteria; Bacillati; Bacillota; Clostridia; Lachnospirales; Lachnospiraceae. The record is from RNAcentral.
ACGGAAGGCAGCAGUGGGGAAUAUUGCACAAUGGGCGAAAGCCUGAUGCAGCGACGCCGCGUGAGUGAAGAAGUAUCUCGGUAUGUAAAGCUCUAUCAGCAGGGAAGAAAAUGACGGUACCUGACUAAGAAGCCCCGGCUAACUACGUGCCAGCAGCCGCGGUAGUACGUAGGGGGCAAGCGUUAUCCGGAUUUACUGGGUGUAAAGGGAGCGUAGACGGUUUGGCAAGUCUGAAGUGAAAUGCGGGGGCUCAACUCCUGAACUGCUUUGGAAACUGUCGAACUAGAGUGCAGGAGAGGUAAGUGGAAUUCCUAGUGUAGCGGUGAAAUGCGUAGAUAUUAGGAGGAACACCAGUGGCGAAGGCGGCUUACUGGACUGUAACUGACGUUGAGGCUCGAAAGCGUGGGGAGCAAACAGGAUUAGAUACCCUGGUA